AACAGCUCAGGAGGCUGAAAUAAGAGGAUUGCAAGUUCAAAGCCAGUCUCAGCAAUGGCAAGGUGCUUAGCAACUCAGUGUGAUCCUAUCUCUAAAUAAAAUACAAAAUAGGGCUGGGGGUGUGACUCAGUUGUUGAGUGCCCCGGAGUUCAAUCCCUGGUGCCAAAAAGAAAAGAUAUUGAACCCAGGGGCACUUAACCACUGAGCCACAACCCCACCCCUUAUUGUUAUUUUUUUUACUUUGAGAUGGGAUCUUGCUAAGUUGCUGAGGCUGGCUUUGAGCUUGUGAUUCUCCUGUGUUAGCCUCUUGAGUGGCUGGGAUCACAGGCAAGUGCCACUAUGCCGGAUGAAAAUUUCUUUUUAAAGGUGGUUGUGAAAGUGAUGAUAUUUUUUCUUCUAUAAAAGGUUAUGCUUGGGCUGGGAUCGUGGCUUAGCGGUAGAGCACUCGCUUAGCACAGGCGGGACCCGGGUUCGAUCCUCAGCACCACAUAAAAAGAAAGCAUUGUGUUGUGUUCAUCUACACCAAGAAAUAAAUAUUUAAAAAAAAAAAAAAAGGUUAUGCUUGCUGGGUGCAGUGGCACAUACCUGUAAUCCAGCUGCUCAGGAGGUUGAGGCAGGAGUAUCACAAGUUCAAAGCCAGCCUCAGCAACUUAGCAAGGCCCUCAGCUAAGUUUCAGGGAGACCCUGAAAAUAAAAAAUAAAAAGGGCUUGGGAUGUGUGUCAGUGGUUAAGCACCCUUGGGUUCAAUCCCAGGUUCCAAAGAGGCGGGGGAAGUUUAGGCUUUCCUUACUACUGAACUGUAUCUGAGUGAAUAAGCCUGAUAAUUUGAAUGUGAAUACAAAUGAAUUUAUUAAACAGAGUGUUAAUAAAAGGGCUUAUUGUAGCAAUAUUCUCCUCUUACUCUCCAAACGGCCUCUUCCACAUACCCUCACACACUGCUCUCUUAAGUGCAUCUGUUGGCCUUUAUGGUAUGAACAUCUUUUAUUUUUAUUUAGUUUUUUGUCAGCAGUAAUCCAGGCAAGGGUUUCCAAGUUGAUGAAUUAAUCCACUGUGUGCUGCUCACAAACAGUUAAGAAGGGUACAGUAUCAUAUUAUAUAUAUACAAAAAAUACAUGCUUUAAUGUAUGAACCAGACUUAAUUAAUGGUUGGUAUAGAAAAAUCCAUUUUGCUCAAUCAUUUCAUGUAAGCACCUGAGAAAUUAUUUUUCCGAAAGCUUCUGGGAAACUUCCAGCGUGUGCUAUUGAAAUAUAAACAUGAAUCUAUAAUUUACAAGCAAAUAAGCCUCAGGCAUAUUUUCAUAGUUUCAAACUUCUGUGGCUAGUCCUCACAGCAGAAAAGGGGGAAGAAAGUACUUUCUGAAGGUAACUCUAGUUUUCUUCCUACCUUCAGCAUACGUGAAGGAAUUUGGGGAAAUUCUGCAUGUAGUGAGACCCAUUUAUAAAGUUUUCUUAUGAAAAUAUUAUGACCAUUGAAGCGCUUUUGGGGACAGGAAGUACUUGAUCUUCAUUCAAGCCACUAGUUAUGAAUAUUGGAAGUGAAAGCUUCAGAGGUCUGUGGUCUAGGCAUAGUGAGCUGAAGUACCUUGUUAAAAGGGAAGGACUGACACAUUUCAGCUUUCAUGUACAUUUCUACAGCCACAAGUAGAUGACCUUUCAGGGAAAAAAAAAUGCAUAAGAGUGGCUUGCUCCUCUUGCCAGGAGACAGCAUUUCCAGUAGUUCUCAGGAGAGCAGUAAUGAUCCAGCAAGGGUUUGAUUGAUUUGCAAUUGGAUAGGUAGAAAGUGUUUGAGAAAUAUUUGAAAGUUAUGAUUUCUCUUUUAGACUGCCUUGAAUGUUUAACUGUCCCUCCAGGUGCUGUAUGAUCACUAAAAAAUGUAGUGACUCCUGAGCUUCUGGAGGUGAGCGAUGAAGGGUGAUGGUGAUGUGUGAAAACAAAUCAAAUUUUCUUUUCUGGUCGAGACUUAGUGGCUUGGUAUGACACCUUCUAGCUGCUGUUCCUUGAAGACUAAGUAUAUAUCAGACACUGGCUAAGAAUUGUAUUUAUUUAUGACCAAGGUGCUAUUCCGAUUCAUGUCUGACAGAUCAGAAAAUUGAGGCAAACAGAGGUUAAGUAACUUGCCCACAGUCACAUACCUGAUUAAUGAGAAAGCAGGAUUUAAAACUUAAUAGUUGGAUUCCAGAGCACAUGCUUUUAGCUAUUUUGCUACACAACUUCCAGGGGUAUAACCAAAAACAGAAGGAACUUGUAGACUUAUAUCGUUCAAGUUACUUUGAAGCAAGGCAGAAUCCUGAAAAUGAGGAAAUGAAUGAUUUUCUGAUGAAUUCAGUUGAUUCUGUUUCACACCCCAUCUACUCUGAAAAAGUCAAAUUGAGGUGGUAGUUUCUGAGUCCUCAAUGUCUUUCUUCACUAAGCUUUUGUAAAUGCUCUACUUAUUUUUAUUUAAGUCUGUACUAAGUGAAAACAAUUGAAAUAUAGUGAUUCAAAUGAAGAGAGUAGCUUGGAUCUGACUUCAAUUCUGCCUCUCUGGCCAGUGUGGAUUUAUGGGAGGAUUCUAAAGAGACUAUGCACACUUAGUUGGGAAAAAAGGUUGGGGUCAUCAUGACCCUCAGAAAUCAUCUGGUAGUGAGGAAACUGAGGCUCACUGAAGGCCAAUGAUGUGGCCAACAUCACACAGAGAGGGGCUUGAAGGGACCCUAGAAUGUGUGCUCGCUGGACAGAGCUCUUUCCACCAUGCGCCCUUUAAAUCGAAGAAGCGAGUGAUCAGGGAACACUUGAAAAGCAACAGCUCUGGUGACAAAGUGUUGACUAACACAGAAGCAAAAUCAGAUGGAAAAAUGUCCUUACUGGAAGCAUCUUGGGUCCUUCAGCCAUGGAGAAUCCCCUGGGCAAGGACAUAAGUUCACUCUGCUACAAAAGAUUUCAGACAAUGAGGUGACAGAGGCUGGUGGGAGGGUGACAGGGACAGGCUGGCAACUGGAUGGAGAAUAAAGCAGAUUUAUAGCUUGAAAAUCUAACACAAAGCACAGUGAAAACCAAUUGCAAAGAGCUAAGGGCCUCAGGGGACUGGAUAUCUGGGGAAAUUGGGCCAAUUUUUUCUUCACAUGUCUAGGUCUUUUGACUCUAUCACGAUACAGUAUCCUUCCUUUGACAUUGCGAAAAUAACUCGAUUAUGAUUAUGUCCCCCCAUAAGUUUCCUAUUUUAAAUUAAUUUAAAAAUCUCAGAGGUGUAAGAACUAAAUAUUUGUGUUUCAGAUUUCCAGGCACAUACAUAUUUAUUAACUAAAUGAAUAAAUGAAUUUUUGCCCUUGUCAAGGUAUUACAUCAUUGGUCAAUCCAUA
RNAcentral lists this long non-coding RNA (3338 nucleotides) under Marmota monax (woodchuck). The record is from RNAcentral. Lineage: Eukaryota; Metazoa; Chordata; Mammalia; Rodentia; Sciuridae.